Xiphophorus couchianus (Monterrey platyfish) is the source of this 1001-nucleotide long non-coding RNA. RefSeq lists it as uncharacterized. The record is from RefSeq and is a predicted model, not a curated record. The transcript is spliced from 2 exons. NCBI's taxonomy places the organism in Eukaryota, Metazoa, Chordata, Actinopteri, Cyprinodontiformes, Poeciliidae.
UCCAGCAAGAUGUGGUUUCAUGUGGUGUGUUUGCGCUUAAAUUUGCAGAGUGCAUACUGGAAAACAAGGACCUGAACUUUCCAUCAGCAGCAGAAGCUGUUAAUACCAUGAGACUCAACAUGUCUUCCACACUUCUCUCAGAAUCAGGUAUCUUUUGACAUAUUUUUUAUUCAGUUCCUAUGUGGGUGGGAUACUAUGUUGUGUGUAAAAUCAUGCACGCACAAAAAAAUUGUGUUAGGUCAGCUAUUUUAUCUAAUUAGAAAUAUUAAAAUAUUGAACUUUGCAGAUGUGUGAAGUACAAUCAUGUUAGUGUUUAUGUCAAAUUCAAUUAGUGAAGAACAUUUCAAUACACCUGGCCUUGAUCUCUAAUAAAUAAAUUACACAUAACACAGCCCAAUAACUGUUGAGGCAAAAAACAUAAUCAACAAACUUAAAAUUGUUCUAGGAUACAAUUACACUUUUCUUGAGUAGCUUUAAUGUAACUUAAUAAGCAAAAAGGACUUGCAGUUUGUGAAAGUACAAAACUGGAAUGAGAUGUAUUAUGUGAACCAUUAUAUUCAUUACUGUGUUUCAUAAAAUGAACAUUUACAAAAUGACAACUUUCACAAGAUGUAUACACAUAUAUAUGUAGACAUAUUAAAAUUUUCUGAAUGCCAUUUUUAUACUUUCAGUGGCUUAAGUUGGAGAAAAUUAUAAAAAGGUAAACACUAAGUGAUGCUUUCUUUUACCAUAAAUCCCAGAAAUACCUUAAAUACAUGUGUGUUUCAAUUCAUGAAUAGACAGACACCAUGUGCGCCUGCCUAAUAUGCCAAUAUGAUGUACAGUUUCUAUUACUUGUAUUUGUUUAUGAGACCAGACAUUAUCAAAAAGGAAUGAUUAGACGACUGAGAUCUACACAGAGGAUUAUUGUUCCACUUUCAAAAGAACACUAACAAAUGGAAUUAUUUAAAAGAAAAAAAAAAACGCAAAAAAAUACCAUUAAGAUUAUUUUAUAACAUUGA